AAAAGGUUAAGACUUCUCUAACAGGAACCACAGCAACAUUACUGAUUAAUUCAUUGUGAAAUGGCAUCAUGGGAUUGAGCGGGUGUAUUUAUGUUUGAAAUGGACAUGAACACCGAAGAGUCAUCAUUCAAAAUUGUUGGCGGGAACGAGGCAGCAGAAAGCACGGGUCUUGGCUGGACUGCAAGGUGGUGAGACGAAUCUUAAACGAACUUGAAGGCACGAGACAGCAGCGAUCGCAACAGCUAACUUCAUAGGACUGGUGGUGUGGGACAAAUGAGAAAAGGUGAAAAACCCAUUGUACACUGCCUUUUUUAUGGAUGGAUGCUAUAUUUCACUAUUGACUUUGCUAUCGAUAAAGUAUUUUUAGACGUGUAUCACUGUAAGUUGUCAGCAUGAGAGCAGUACUAUUAUAGGCUUUACUCAGCAUAUGAAAUACACAGUAAUGUUCCAAACUGUUCCUUUACAUGUGGUGUACCUGAUUGCUCCUGUGCAUUCAAAAAAUUUUCAGCAUUCAAGUCUCAUCUAUACAGAGACCAUAGAGGGUAUCAGAGGUAUCAUAGAAGUGUCAGAUUUGACCAAACAGACACAGCAUUGACUUGCCAAAUUUAAGUUUGUCAUUUCACAUGUACAAGCCUGAAGGACUUCAUUAGACAUUUAAAAGACCAUAUAGAUGAAGGCAGGGAGAUAAAAUGCCCUUUUAAGAGCUGUGAGAGGACAUUUAGUGUUAAAUCCACAUUUGCGUCUCAUGUCUCAAGAAUACACAAAAACAGUAAACCUGAACAUCUACACGAAACUGUUUUUGCAAACUCAUCACAACAUGAGUGUCAGCCCUCUACAUCUCUUGAUGACAGUUCAAUUCAAUUCAAUUCAAGUUUAUUUGUAUAGCACUUUUUACAAUAGACAUUGUCUCAAAGCAGCUUUACAGAACAUAAACACAGAGCAGAAGGUAAACAUAAUUAAUG
Tachysurus fulvidraco (yellow catfish) is the source of this 962-nucleotide long non-coding RNA. RefSeq lists it as uncharacterized. The transcript has 4 exons. NCBI's taxonomy places the organism in Eukaryota, Metazoa, Chordata, Actinopteri, Siluriformes, Bagridae. The record is from RefSeq and is a predicted model, not a curated record.